This 94-nucleotide transfer RNA is filed under the name Endomicrobium sp. Its description in RNAcentral is "tRNA-Ser". It matches the Rfam family "tRNA". Rfam says of the family: Transfer RNA (tRNA) molecules are approximately 80 nucleotides in length. Their secondary structure includes four short double-helical elements and three loops (D, anti-codon, and T loops). The record is from RNAcentral. Lineage: Bacteria; Pseudomonadati; Elusimicrobiota; Endomicrobiia; Endomicrobiales; Endomicrobiaceae.
GGAGGGAUCGCAUAGUUUGGCUUAGUGCGCUGGUUUGCUAAACCGGUGUAUAGGUAACAAUCCUGUACCGAGAGUUCGAAUCUCUCUCCCUCCA